RNAcentral lists this ribosomal RNA (501 nucleotides) under Triticum aestivum (bread wheat). Its description in RNAcentral is "partial small subunit ribosomal RNA". Lineage: Eukaryota; Viridiplantae; Streptophyta; Magnoliopsida; Poales; Poaceae. The record is from RNAcentral.
AUGAGCGCCGCACGGAGAGGAUGCACGGCGAGUCGAGUAGGGCUCAGGGUCUGGCGGAGAGCGGGGCGGGGUUCCGGCGGCGGGAGGAGGGUUUCUUGGGGGAGGGAGGGAGGGAGGAAUGGGCGGUGGGUUUGGGGCAUUGAAGACUUUGAUUUGGGGAGGGAGAAGAGGAGAGGAGAGGAGAUGGAAAAUGAGGGAGAAUUUUUGGAGAAAAGGAGUGACUUCACUGCCCGCGUCGCCUCCCUCCUUCCCUCUGCUGAGGCUGCUGCUGACUUUCAAACUGCCGCAGCCCCCGCAGCCGCAGCUCAGGUCGUGCUCGCACCGCCGCCCUUCUUUCUGCCCCCUCCCACACGCCCGUUUACCACGCUCAUCUCCCUACGUCCGCGAAUAAGUGUACAUUUAGCUUUUGUCUUAAAUCAAACUUUUAAUACUUUAACCACAUUUCUAGGAAAAAGUAAAAGCAUUUAUGGCACCAAAUUAGUAUCACUAUAUUCGUUUUGA